RNAcentral lists this ribosomal RNA (84 nucleotides) under Psychrobacillus vulpis. The record is from RNAcentral. Lineage: Bacteria; Bacillati; Bacillota; Bacilli; Caryophanales; Bacillaceae.
UCCCAUACCGAACACGGAAGUUAAGCUCUUCAGCGUCGAUGGUAGUUGGGGGUUUCCCCCUGUGAGAGUAGAACGUCGCUAGGC